CGUGUAGGCGGUUCAUCAAGUCUGGUGUGAAAUCGCAAGGCUUAACCUUGCAUAUGCGCUGGAAACUGGUGGGCUUGAGUUCUUGAGGGGAAGCUGGAAUUCCAGGUGUAGGGGUGAAAUCUGUAGAUAUCUGGAAGAACACCGGUGGCGAAGGCGAGCUUCUAUCAGAGGACUGACGCUGAGGCGCGAAAGCGUGGGGAGCAAACAGGAUUAGAUACCCUGGUAGUCCACGCUGUAAACGAUGUGCACUAGGCGUGGGGCACGUACGUGUUCUGUGCCGUAGUUAACGUGAUAAGUGCACCGCCUGGGGAGUAUGCUCGCAAGGGUGAA
This 330-nucleotide ribosomal RNA is filed under the name uncultured bacterium. RNAcentral's name for it is "bacterial SSU rRNA". It matches the Rfam family "Bacterial small subunit ribosomal RNA", at positions 568 to 898 of the family's 1533-position model. The record is from RNAcentral.